UAUAUACACGGACAAAGUAAACUGACUAGACAACAGCAAAUAGUUUUACUGAAUGUAUUCUGUGGAUUCGAAACAAGGAAUCACUUCGAAAUGCUUUGUUUGAUAUAAAUUUUAAACAUUCGAUUUCUUUUCGUUUUUCGUUCCUAUGACCAAUGCAUUGCCAGACACGCAGCGUCGGGAGAAUGAACAAAAAUUAAACCGUACUAUAAUGUACUUAAGUCUCAAAUUCUUCUACUGUGCCGUAAUAAAUAUGAGAAAACUAUUAAUGACAUUUUCCAUAUGCUUGUCACUUAAUAUAAAGGAAAAAGUGGCAUCCUCGCGUUGGCCUGGAACAAGUGGAGUCGUGCAUCCCAGUCACCUGUCCUCUACAUAUAGUUUACAAAAACAUUUUUAAUGAGAUCCGAGGAAGUUAGAGUCAUUUUUUCGCCCACAUGCAUUUGGUACCGAAACACGCAUUUAAUGUGGCGAACCGGCUGAACUGACAUAAAUGCGACACGGGGAUUAUAAUGCUGUAACGUGCGAAUCACACAAAUCGGGAUAAAAAGGAUAUCAUCGACGAACGACAAAGAAAAGAAGACUGAGGUGCAAGUAAUUUUCAACCUUAAGAAUUUCUCAUCUCUUGUAUAGGAAUUGCAUUUUUUUUUUUCGCCAACUAUAUAUCUGGGCGAAUCUUUGCUGCCGCGGCAGGUUAAAGUUGCAUAUUAUUUUUGAAAUUAUUCAGUAACAUGCAGUAUAAACUUUGCAAAGAGAAGGCAUCUUGACGAAAGUGAGACUCCGGGAAAAACAGAGAAAUCCAAAAAAACAUAGGAGACUAGCUAUGACGCAGAGUUCCUUGUUUGAAAAUCCAAGACUGAGAGUGAGUUGUUGUUAGACUCCGAGACAGGAAGAGGCACAGAAAAAAACGAGACUUAGUGACUCAUCACUGAAAAAUUCAGAGAUUUUGAGACCGGAUCAAAAACUUUUCAAGGUACCAUUCCCUCACCAUCCGUUAUAAUGACAUACGAAUUGAAUUGACUCCAAACGUUGAAAGAACUUGCCAAACGUAUAGUUUAACUCUUUGGGAACAAUAAGGAGGGAGGCAUUUGCUUUCUAAAAUUUUGAGUUUAAAAACCCGAGCACAAAUUACUAGUGACCGUUAAUAUAUCGUAUUUUAAUACAAAUGGCUGGUAGCUUUGUAUACAAUUGGUUUAAUAUUGGUUUAAUAUUUAAUACCUUGUACUUUGCGUCAGAGACGAAUUGUCUUUUAACUCUUUGGGAGUAAUACUGAGGUAGGCAUUAGCUCUUUUCCUUCUUUACGGCAAAAUGUUGCGAUUUAGACCCUCAUCACAAAUGGCAUUUUUUUAACACUUUCAUCACCGAGCACAAAUUUCUAGUGACCGUAAAAAAUCGUGUUUUAGUAUAAAAAUGGCUAAUAGCUUACUAUACAUAGUUUAUUACCUUGCCAAAGAAGUUAAAAAAGUAUCAAUUAAAUGGGGAAAAUACCAGUAUCAUUUUUGAUACCUUGACAACCUGCCACAAAAUCAAAGUUGAUGAGCUAUAAUCCACUUUCAUCGUGUUUGUCCAGCACAUCUUUCCUAAAAUAAUCGUUAUAUUUUGUUCUACAAUAAUCUCAAUUUAUCAGUAACAUUUUCUGGCAUUUCGCAAUACAAUAUGGAAAUUACUGGAAAGAGUUCCUCCGAUAACAAUGCUCUUUCAACAUCCAGAGUUGCUGUAAUAUUUGUGGUUCGAUCACAUGCGGCCCAGGCCUCCUACGUAAACACAUGCUUUAGGACGCGCUUAACGACUUCCCGCCCGGGCUUUGUAUACAAUCUACGUGACAAUCACUGCGCAAAUGAAGGUUGCGUAACUACCAGUCUUUCGAUUCAGUUCAGUUUAAAAAAAUGAUAUUAAUUUCGCUCUAGGACCACAGCGAUAAAAAAUAUCAGAGCUGCAAACAGAGCUGCUAAGUCACUCUUAUCGAAAUUAUUUUCGACACAUAGUAUUUAGAGCAACUUUCAGUUUGCAUUCUCAAUUAUAAAUCUGUUAGGGGGCGUUUCAUUGGCUUACUCUGGAACAGGAAAAAAUGGGAUACCACCUCAUCCGUUUGUCCUUAUUGGUAUUAAAAAUAUGCGGCGAGCAUGCAUUCCUCGCAUUCUCUGGGCCUGGAAGUAGAAUUAAUUACGAAAUUCUAAGAAUAGUCUAGCGGCCGCAGGACUAAUAACAAGCUUUGUGCUCCAUCCACACGUAUCCAUUUUCUUCUAGUCGAAAACGAACUUUUUUUUUUCUUUCAGCUUGGCCUUUCAUCCAGACAAAUCCGGUGAAUAGUCACCUAAAACGUCAAAACAAAAUGAACAUCUCUUUUCGAGACUGCUUUCUAGAGUGAAUUUAAAAAAAAAAGAAAAAAACGGCGCCAAGAAAAUCAAUCGGCACCCUGGGGUUGGAAACCGUAUUGGAAAACCGUUAAAUGAGCCGUUGUCAAACCUUAUCUGACGAUAAAUCUAUAACUACAUCAACAAAAAUUACAUUGAUGCUUACAAAUGAUUCCGGCAUGAACAUGUUUAUUUUUUUUUAGGGUUCUCCAUAAAAGCCUGCAAACAGGUAUUAAUCACCGUCUAGCUUUUCUCGCCCGCUCCUUUUUCAUUUACAUCGGCAACCAAGUGCUGGAGUUGUUCCGCAAAGUUUCAAUUUUAAAAUGGUGAAAAGAGAAAACGAAAGAAAAAGAAAUGUUUGGAAAUGAUUGUAACCGAUCUUAUGGCUAACGACCUAAACUGGCCGGAAGCGAAAUAGAGGCGUUUGUGCUUUAGAUUGCAAUUGCUGCCAGGAAGGGAGAACGGAUGUUCAUUACGGCUUUGGGGACUGAACGAGGCAUCCUGAACCUCUUGAGAAGUCAGAUCUGAGAUGAUGUCAAAAGAAAAUAGUGUUUUGCAAGAGUGCAGGGCUUGGAUCAUUCUAGUAACGGAACAGAUGCCGGUCUUUUGACGUACGUUAGAAAUGGUUAUUCUGAUAUAAGCCGUAUCCCGGAAUAUGGUCAGCCGAAAGCAUCACGCUGGACUGGAAUUCAGUCUUAUUUCCGAAUAACGUCAAUCGAUCGAACUACGCACGUCUAAAAGGUUGAAAACGCCGUCGAAAACAGACUAAUGUCACGUAGAUCGUAUACAAAGCCCUGGCCCUACACAUUGCGUGUAGCCUGAGUACCAAAAAUGGUCACCACACUAGCGCGUGCAACCUUAAUCCACUCCUACUCAGCGUGGCGCUGGGAUGCAUCACUGUCGGACUAUUUCGAAAUAAGUCAUGAUUUAUACGUUGUAUGUACUUCACUUUAACUUUAUGAAUAUACCGUGUUACUAUUAGCAUUGUUAGUGAGGUAUAGGUUAACCAAAAUGCUAUUCAGAGUAACUGAACUUCUGAGCUGUUCAGGCUAACUCAGCGUUAAACUGGCUAAAGAGGAGUAUUAAGUACUUAGGCCACUCGACUAAAGAGUCCAAAUCGAGUUCGAACUCAAAGUCCAUCUGAAAUGUUUUUAUAUUUCCUGUAUUAAAUUAAAUGUGGACAUGUACAGAUGAAUUCAAUAAAUUGCAGUGUACAGUGUACAGUUCCCGUAUCAUUUUACGAAUCAAGCUUACAGCACUGAUUACCAAAAGUGUAACUAGCACAAAACUUAACUUUGCUUAACAAAGAAAAAUUGUGACUGGAAAUAAAAACACGAGGAAUCUCGAUGUUCACGGGACAAGUCGAAACGUCAGCUUUUACCACGCUUCUGAUGAAAUGGUUUAUAAAUAAAUUUAGCAGCAUCGUGAUAUUCGUCACAUGAACGAUUGCGAGUGGCCACCGGUAACAGAUCACGCAAGUCCAUUUACCGCACUAUUGUUAAAGCAGGCUUUGCGGGGGACUCAUGAGCAAUUUUUAAUUGUCGCCCAAGGCCAUAACUAGACAGUACUUGUCGGGAUACUGUCCAUAUCAAGUGCAGUGGUGUCCUGAGCGAACAGACUUUCAAUCGUUACGCUUACGCCAAAGGAACACUACAAUUCAAUUCAGUAUUUCUACAACAGACGUUAUCGACCGAGCGACUCGAGAUACACAAACAGUCGCAGCUGCACUUGGGGUUCUUGACUUUACAUCAUGAUCACACAAGACACUCCUUGCGGAGAAGCAAACGGUCUUAUGACUAGUGUUGAACUAAGCGAACAAAUGAGGACACGAAUUCGACAAGUUGCGAGAGAGUUGCAGAACAUAGGAGAUAAACUCGAAAACCGAUAUUUUCGUCCACUUCAAGAUGCUGGACAAAAUCAUGAUAGACUUGGAUUCAACGUGAUGGAAGUUGCUAGAGCGAUUUUCCUGCGGUAUGUUACAGAACUUCUCGGUCGCAACAACUGACUACAGAUUUGAUAACGAUGUUCUCCGCCCUCUGCUGCGAAAUUCGUGACAACUUUAUCAUCGGACGAGUAGCUGUGCAAUAUUUUCAAUUAACUUGUGACAAGCUGACUAGGCAAUUUUAGUCACGACAAUAAUAAGACAUCACGCACCGAGGGAAAAACUGUCAAAGAUAGAAGUAUAAAGGCGUGCAGGUCCUUACCACGAAGUGAAGACGAUAACAUAAAGAUCCUGAAAGCCAAACACGCUAGAAAAUUACGAAUAUCUUGAGUUGAAAGAUCCAUACGUCGUACUUAGUGUAUGACUGAUGUUUCGAAAAUAGUACCUGUGGUUUCUUUCAAGUGCGAUGACCAAUAACCACAGAACUGGUCAUAAAAUAACCACCCGCUAAGUAAACCAUUUUCAUUUACAUUUCGCCGAAUAUUUAUUGCAACCAAUGGUAUAAAUGUAAGUAGUGUCAGAAUUUUUUGAAAAAUACUAAAUCCAACUAAAUGCGAA
Orbicella faveolata is the source of this 4848-nucleotide long non-coding RNA. RefSeq lists it as uncharacterized. Lineage: Eukaryota; Metazoa; Cnidaria; Anthozoa; Scleractinia; Merulinidae. The record is from RefSeq and is a predicted model, not a curated record.